AACCAAUGGUGAGGGCCCUUUCUCAAUAAAUCCUUGUAUCUCUCCCAUGCAUCAUAGAGUGUUAAUAGGUCAAUCUACACAAAAGAAGAGAUAUCAUUCCUCAACUU
This 107-nucleotide small nucleolar RNA is filed under the name Gossypium hirsutum (cotton). RNAcentral's name for it is "Plant small nucleolar RNA R71". It matches the Rfam family "Plant small nucleolar RNA R71". From Rfam's summary of the family: R71 is a member of the C/D box family of snoRNAs containing the C (UGAUGA) and D (CUGA) box motifs. Lineage: Eukaryota; Viridiplantae; Streptophyta; Magnoliopsida; Malvales; Malvaceae. The record is from Rfam by way of RNAcentral.